This 253-nucleotide ribosomal RNA is filed under the name uncultured bacterium. Its description in RNAcentral is "partial 16S ribosomal RNA". It matches the Rfam family "Bacterial small subunit ribosomal RNA", at positions 524 to 776 of the family's 1533-position model. The record is from RNAcentral.
UACAGAGGGGGCAAGCGUUAUUCGGAAUUAUUGGGCGUAAAGGGCGCGUAGGCGGCUAUUCAAGUGGCGGGUGAAAUCCCUCGGCUUAACCGAGGAACUGCCUGCCAGACUGGAUGGCUUGGAUUUGGGAGAGGGAUGCGGAAUUCCAGGUGUAGCGGUGAAAUGCGUAGAUAUCUGGAGGAACACCGGUGGCGAAGGCGGCAUCCUGGACCAAUAUUGACGCUGAGGAGCGAAAGCCAGGGGAGCAAACGGG